AUCCAUCUGACGAGUCCCAAAUAGGAGGAGACGCGCGUCCUGGAU
Schistosoma mansoni is the source of this 45-nucleotide non-coding RNA. Lineage: Eukaryota; Metazoa; Platyhelminthes; Trematoda; Strigeidida; Schistosomatidae. The record is from Rfam.